UUUACUGCCUAUGUUUUCUUAUAGGUUUUUUUUGGUUUCAAGUCUAACAUUUAAGUGUUUAAUCCAUUCUGAGUUUAUCCUUUUGUAUGAUGUAAGAAGGUAAGCUAAUUUAAAUUUUUGUGCAUAUCUGUCCAAUUUUCCCAACACCAUUUAUUGUUUAGACCAUCUUUAACCCUUUAUGUGUUUUUGCCUCCUUUGUCAAAUAUACAUUGACCAUUAAAGGUGUGGGUUUAUUUCUGGGCUCUCUAUUCAGUUCCAUUAAUCUAUAUGUCUGUUUUUAUGCCAGUACCAUGCUGUUCUGAUUACUAUGACCUUGUAGUAUAGUCUGAUACCAGAUAGCAUGAUUCCUUAAAUUUUAUUCUUCUUUGUCAAGACUUCAGUGGCUUAUUUGGGGUCUUUUGUGUUUUCAUAUAAAUUUUAGAAUUAAUUGUUCUAGUUUCAAUGAAAAUGCCACUGGUAUUUUGGUAGAAAUUGCAUUGAAUAUAUAGAUUGCUUUGGGUAGUAUAGACAUUACAAUGUUAAUUCUUCCU
Long non-coding RNA from Phyllostomus discolor (pale spear-nosed bat), 530 nucleotides. RefSeq lists it as uncharacterized. The record is from RefSeq and is a predicted model, not a curated record. The transcript is spliced from 3 exons. NCBI's taxonomy places the organism in Eukaryota, Metazoa, Chordata, Mammalia, Chiroptera, Phyllostomidae.